CCUACGGGAGGCAGCAGUGAGGAAUAUUGGUCAAUGGGCGCGAGCCUGAACCAGCCAAGCCGCGUGAAGGAAGAAGGCGCCAAGCGUCGUAAACUUCUUUUGUCGGGGAACAAAGGGCGCCACGUGUGGCGUUGUGAGUGUACCCGAAGAAAAAGCAUCGGCUAACUCCGUGCCAGCAGCCGCGGUAAUGCGGAGGAUGCGAGCGUUAUCCGGAUUUAUUGGGUUUAAAGGGUGCGCAGGCGGAAGAUCAAGUCAGCGGGAAAAGUGAGAGGCUCAACCUCUUCGAGCCGUUGAAACUGGGUUUCUUGAGUGAGUGAGAAGUAUGCGGAAUGCGUGGUGUAGCGGUGAAAUGCAUAGAUAUCACGCAGAACUCCGAUUGCGAAGGCAGCAUACCGGCGCUCAACUGACGCUCAUGCACGAAAGUGUGGGUAUCGAACAGGAUUAGAUACCCUUGUAGUC
Molecule: ribosomal RNA, 459 nt
Filed under: uncultured bacterium
Lineage: Bacteria
Description: partial 16S ribosomal RNA
Rfam family: Bacterial small subunit ribosomal RNA
Source: RNAcentral